AAACGUAGGGGGCGAGCGUUGUCCGGAAUUACUGGGCGUAAAGGGUGCGUAGGCGGCCGAUUAAGUCAGAUGUGAAAUACCAGGGCUCAACCCUGGGGGUGCAUUUGAAACUGGUUGGCUUGAGUGCAGGAGAGGAAAGCGGAAUUCCUAGUGUAGCGGUGAAAUGCGUAGAGAUUAGGAGGAACACCAGUGGCGAAGGCGGCUUUCUGGACUGUAACUGACGCUGAGGCACGAAAGCGUGGGGAGCAAACAGGAUUAGAUACCCUGGUAGUCCACGCCGUAAACGAUGGAUACUAGGUGUAGGGGGUAUCAUGCCCUCUGUGCCGGAGUUAACGCAAUAAGUAUCCCGCCUGGGGAGUACGGCCGCAAGGUUGAA
This 376-nucleotide ribosomal RNA is filed under the name uncultured bacterium. RNAcentral's name for it is "bacterial SSU rRNA". It matches the Rfam family "Bacterial small subunit ribosomal RNA", at positions 523 to 898 of the family's 1533-position model. The record is from RNAcentral.